This 816-nucleotide long non-coding RNA is filed under the name Marmota monax (woodchuck). Lineage: Eukaryota; Metazoa; Chordata; Mammalia; Rodentia; Sciuridae. The record is from RNAcentral.
UUUCAGUUUGCAACACAAUGCUAUUAGUCUCAAGGCUUUGGUAUUUGGCAGAACAACAUUGCAUAAUUCCACCAGCAUAGUCAUUGCUUUGAAUGGGUGGUACCUUUGGGACUCUUGUAAGGUGUUUAGACCUACCUUUAUCCUGUAUUCCUGUGGAAGAAAAAAUGGGAAUUGAAGUGAAAACUAGUGGAAAAACAUGACAUGCCUUCUAAGUACAGGUGGUGGCAGUACGGUCAGAAGGUGUGUGGGUUUUAUGGAGAAGCUUGUGUUUGCAAAAAGAGCACUGUGCUAAAAGUACUGUUGGAGCAAGAAUCUACUUCCAGUUAAACCAUUUCAGGUUAUUCAGAAAAUGUACCUGUAGUAAUUAAGAUCUAAAAUUCCUGGAAGAAGAGCUCAAAUGGGUACAUCCGCUAAGUAUAGACUGUAUAUAUCCUUUUUGAUAAAAGUGCAGUAGCAAAGGAGUAAUGGAAAUAGAAUCGAGUUCAUAAGAAUGGGUGGCAUUAAAGGUUGCUAAUGCCAUGUGAUCCUGAAACCCAGAGCUCAGAACUAACUGUAAGAUGAUAUUCUGUGAGCUAACAAUUCUUUGACAUAAACUUGAAACCUUUUUUGAUAGCUCCUCAUUCUGUGUAAGCAAAAUGGGGGGAAAAUUUUUUUUUCUUUUGUACCACACUUAGUGGCCUUGUAUGUCAGCAAGUAGUGCUGUAUUCUUUAUGAAUCUGAACCAUUUCUGAGGGGGGACAAUGUGUGUGGCUCUUACAUUUUGGGAAAUUUUCUAAAAGAAUUCAGUUACAUGCUCAAGUGUUAGAAACUUUUAGC